CUUCCACACUACUCUGGAUUUGACCACCACCACAGAGAAUAACUUUUCUUUCUCUAAAAGACAAAGGUGAUCGCUAUGCCUGGCAGCACAAACCAAGCAGCUUUCCCCUCCUCCACACUAAGCAUUCUGGCUAGGGCACAGCAGCCUUUAUCGCUGCUCACCAGUUCCUAUUCCCCUCCCUGUAUCUUCAACUCUUCAGCAAGAGCCCACAGCUGAGGGAGGAAGUUAAAGGAGCCAUCAAGCAGCCAGGGAGCACAGUAGGCUGAAAGAUCCUUGGUUGCUUUAAAGCAGAGAUAAGUUUUGUGCUGACAUGACUGCUCAGAUUCAGCUGCCAGUGCAUCUGUGGGAGCAGGUGAGUGUCCGGCAGAGAGACACACCACAUCAUCUCUUUGCAUUUCAGCCAGCCUGAGCUCAUGACAGGUGCUGGGCUGCUGCCUGCUAACUGUACCCUGUACACCUCACAGAUAGUGAAAUCAAGGGGGGAGGUACUGGAUCCAUUGUUGGUGCCUCCAAACCUGAGUGUAGGGUGCUAGAUUCCCUCAAAUAAAAACAUGCUAAAAAAAAAAAAAAAAAACUUCUCACUUGAUGUCGAUAGUGUUGCUAAUUAUCAUCCUGACUCUAAGGUGGUGUUUGGGGCAAGGUUGUGUUAAUGGUAAUAGCAAGGCAACUUCGGCACCAUCUGGAAUCCUCUCAUGGCUUGGGUCUCCUCCCAGCAAUAGACAAAGCUCAAGUGUCUAUGCUGUAGCUUUGAUGCUGUUGACGAUAAGGUUUUCUCUCAACUGUGGAGCCUGGCUGGAGUAGACUGUAUGGUAACUCACCUUCCCUUUAAGCUGUGCGCAACAUUCCAUUUAACUUGGUACCUACCGCGCAUCUCACAUGGCUUGGAGCACAGCCAACACCUAGAACAGCUCCUCUUGGUGCUGGGGAUGGGCUGCCAGACGCGCCCGGGUGGAAGGCCAAGAUGGCAGCGAGGUGAACCCUCAUGGAGAACACUGCCAGGUCUUGCUGUUUCAGAUGCAGGAGGUAGUCCAGAAUGAGAGGCACUGACUCCCGGAGGGGGUGUGUGCAGCGAUGGUCACACCAACACGAAAAAAGUGCUUCCACUUCGCCAGAUAUGUGGCUCUAGUAGAGGACUUCCUGCUGCCAAGCAGGACCUGCCUUACGGGGUCCAAACAUAAAGCUCCAUAGGGUUCAGCCAUGCAACAUCCAUGCUGUGAGGUGGAGAGACCGCAGGUCGGGAUGACAGAGGCAACCAUGAUCCUGAGUAAGCAGGUCAGAAAGAAGAGGCAAUGGGACUGGAACCUCCACCGACAGCUCUAACAGCGUGGUGUACCAACUCUGGUGAGGCCACACUGGAGCCACCAGAAUCACCCUCGCCCCAUCUCUGCGGAUCUUGAGCAGGACCUUGUGCACAAGGGGGAACGGAGGAAAGGCAUAGAGUAGGCAACCCAUCCGAGGAAGCAGGAAAGCGUCCGUGAGGGAGCCCGGGCAGUGACCCUGAAAGGAACAGAAUGUGGGACACUUCCUGUUGCUGCAGGUGGCAAACAGGUCCACCUGGGGAAACUCCCACCUUUGGCAGAUCGAGUGGAUGACAUCUAUUCAGAGAGACCACUCAUGCAAGUUGAAGGACCUGCUGAGGUGGUCCGUCAGCAUGUUCUGGAUCCCGGGAAGAAAGGACACAACUAGGUGAAUGGAGUGGGCUAUGCAGAAUUCCCACAGCCAAAUGGCUUCCUGGCUGAGAGGGGAGGAAUAUGUCCCCCUUGCUUGUUGAUGUAGAAAAUGGCCAUGGUGUUGACCAUGAAAGCCACCACCCAAUGACCCUGCAGGUGCUCCUGGAAGGCUUGGCAAGCAAGGCACACCACCAUUAACUCCCUGAUGUUCAUAUGGAAGGAGAGCUCGACCCACGACCACAGGCCGUGAGUCUGAAGGUUCCCCAGAUGAGCCCCCCAUCCCAUAGCCGACGCAUCUGUGACCAGAGACAAGGAAGGCUGGGGACUCUGGAAAGGGACUCCCUUGCACACCACUUGGGGGUUGAACCACCAGCAGAGGGAGGUGAUGACCCGCUUCCGGACAGUGACCGCCAAAUUCAGGCUGUCAUGCCCUGGGCAAUAGACGGAGGCGAGCCAAGCUUGUAGCAACCGGAGCCAGAGCCUGGCAUGCCGGGUCACAUAUGUACAUGAAGCCAUGUGGCCGAGGAGGCUCAGGCAUCCCCUUGCUGUCAAGGUCGGGACUCGCUGAAGGCCUCGAAUGAUGCCCAUGAUGGCUUGGAAACGGGAGUCCUGUAGGAGGGCCCGUGCCUGAACAGAGUCCAGCACCGCCAUGAUGAAUUUGAUCCUCUGGAUUGGUUCCAGGGCAGACUUUGGCACGUUGAGGAGACCCAGCCAUUCGAUGGUAAACCUGACCAAGUGGAAGAGGGACUGCACCUGCUCUCUGGUGCAGCCCCGAAGCAACCAGUCAUCAAGGUAGGGAUACACCUGUACCUGCCGUCGAUGGAGGAAGGCAGCCAUGACUGACAUACACUUGGUGAACACUCGUGGAGCCGUGGAAAGGCUGAAUGGAAGGACCAUAAACUGCUAAUGUUAGUGGUUGACCACGAAGUGCAGGAAGUGCCUGGGCGCCAGAUGAAUCGCUAUGUGGAAAUAUACAUCUUUCAUGUCAAGGGUGGCGUACCAGUCUCCAGGAUCCAGGGAAGGGAUAAUGGUGCCCAGGGAGAACACGCAGAACUUCAACUUUACCAUGAACUUGUUGAGCCCGCAUAGGUCCAGAAUGGGCCAGAAACACCCAUUGGCCUUGGUAAUCAGAAAGUAUGGGAAGUAGAACCUCUUGUCCCUUAGUUCCUGCGGAAACUCCUCUACCGCUCUCAAGCACAACCUCAGUACCUGAUUGAUCAGCUGCAACUUCAAAAUCACGUGAAUUUUCAUAUUCAGGAUCUGCAGCGUAAGGAUUCACUACAAUAGCAAAGGUGUGAUCACCACCAACCUAAGUCACAACAAUGGCACUGAAAAAAUCAGGUUGUGUAUGUGAGUGCAAAUACCCAUCAGUAGAUGCCUCAAGGAAAUGAUCUUGAAUAUAGUCAGAGCCAAAAUCACUCAGGACUUUAAAAAAAACAAACAAACAAAAAAAAACCACAGGCAGUUCUAUCACUUUCUAGACAGCUACCAUGAAGAAAGCAGAGUGGGAGCACUUUCUGACCAGUGGUGCUCAAAACACUGCCAGUUGCUCUUGUGAGGAUGUCCUAGCUGCAGACCGCACAAAUGGAGCAAGUGAGAAAUCAGCAAUCACAGAAACAGAUUUCUUGGCAAGUUAAUCACAAGAGGAAUUGCUUUCAUUUUUGGUCACACCUCUCUCCAGCGCCAGUGACAGGGUGUCUCAGUCAAGACUGCCUGCUUAUGAAACUCGACCCACUCGAUACAAAGGUAAUAAGUAACUUUUCUGGGCCCAGCAGCCAGCAAUUUGAAACAGAUUAUUUUUUGCAACAAAAAUUAUGACAGAGCUAUAGAUGACAGACAGAUGGGAAAACAAGAAAUGAAAAGCUUAUGGGUCAAAUUUAAGAUGCUGUAGAAAGUGGUACAAGUUACACACCAGGAACUGGGUGCAAGGAGGCUACAAGGAUGUAGGUCAUUUACACACUUGCGGGAGGAGUGGACAUGACACAAGUUAAAGUGUGUGGUGGGAGAGAGGGGUUAUUUACAUACACCUUCCGACACCCUCCUGUUAGUUGUUUUUCCUGCUGUAUUUCUGUCUUCCAGCCCCUGCGUCUGCAAGGUAUACUAUUUUACACUCCCCCAGGCUCACUUACACUCCCCUCUUACUGGCCUAUAUCUUAACACCACAUAGCCUCUGAAUUUGUCCCACUGAAUCUGCUCUUGGGCGGAAAGCAUCUUCUUAUGCCAUUGCCUAUGUUAACAUAGGAGUACCCCUCCUCUGAACCAGAAGCAACCACCAUGGCUGCAUAGGCCAGCAGGGUUCAUGAGGGCUGCUUUUCAGUUGGCCCUUAGUCUUACUUAACUGUAUCACAUAUACCAGUGAAAUAUUAGUUUUUGUUCAGAAAAUGUCGUGCCCUGUAUAUGGCCCAUGCUUAGCCUAGCUAUCUGAACUAACAGCCUUGCAACUAAAUAACGCACCGAAGGUGAGGAGCUUUUUUUCUUCAAGGUGAAUUUUGUUCCGUAGACCCAUUGCUAUACCUCAUUACAACAUAAAGACAUGAAUCUGCUGGAGAUAAUAGACUGACAUUUUCACCUUUUCCAUGGGUUUGGAUUCUUACAGUGUUUUUCCUACUGAUAAGUUUUAUUGAUUUUUUUUUUUUUCAUUUUUAAGCUUUUCAGACUUUCUGUUGUCAUAUUACAAAACAGUGGGUGACUAAUUUAGGAACACAUUACCAAGGGGAGUGGUGGAUCGUGUGUCGUUUGAUAUCUUCAGAUCAAGACUGGAUGCAUUUCAGGGAGAUAUGCUUUAGACAAGCACAAGGUAUUGGGUUCAAUACAGGGGUAACUGGCUGAAAUUCUCUGGUCUGUGACAUACAGAAGGUCAGACGAGAUGAUCUAAUGGUCCCUAUUGGUCUUAAACCUUCUUACGCUAUGAAUAAUACUACUUUGUGUGGAUCCUUCAUCUUUAUGGAGAUUUACAAACAUUAAUUCUCAAAACCACUCUCUGAAGUAGGUGUUAAACUCCUUUUUACACAGGGGAAAACUGAAGAACAGAGAGAUUAAAGGUUAAAUUUCAAAAAAAAGGCCUUGAAUUUGUUUGCCUCCAUUUUCCAGUGUCCAUUUCUAGACUACCUGGGCCUGAUUUUCAGCAGUACUGAGCAUUUACAGCUCUUGAUGAAGUCAAUGGGAGCUGUGAUUCUUCAGGACCUCUAAAAGUCAGACCCAAGGAGUCUAGAAAUAGGCACCCAAAAAUUAAGGCACAUAAAAUAAGAGGCUGUUUUUUUUUAAAUUGGGCCUCAGUGACUUAUCGAGAUGGGACAGUGUGUUAAUGGCAAAGCUGGAAAUUGACUCUCUUGAGUUCUGACUCCCAGCCUGCUACUUCGAUUAGCACACCCUCCCUUCUUCAGAUAUUUGAGUGAUUCUCUUUCUCUUGACAAACCAAUAAAUAUUGUUGCCCCUCUAUUUCUUAUAGAAUCAAAGGAAUAUAGGGCUGGAAGGGACUUGAUUUCUUGAAGUCCAGUUUCCAGCUCUGAGGUAGGACCAAGUACACCUAGAUUAUCUCUGACAAGUGUUGGCCCAACCUGUUCUGUAAAACCUCCAGUGAUGGGGAUUCCACAACCUCCCUUGGAAACCUAUUCCAGAACUUAUCCACCUUUAU
Molecule: long non-coding RNA, 5304 nt
Organism: Chelonoidis abingdonii (Abingdon island giant tortoise)
Lineage: Eukaryota; Metazoa; Chordata; Testudines; Testudinidae
Source: RefSeq, a predicted model, not a curated record